UCCCGGUUAACCCGGGCAGUCUCAUUAGAGUCCCCACCUCGCGUGUUGGCAACUAAUGAUAAGGGUUGCGCUCGUUGCGGGACUUAACCCAACACCUCACGGCACGAGCUGACGACAGCCAUGCAGCACCUGUACGAAGGUCCUUGCGGAACAUCCUAUUUCUAGAACUGUCCUCCGUAUUUCAAAUCUGGGUAAGGUUCUUCGCGUUGCAUCGAAUUAAACCACAUGCUCCACUGCUUGUGCGGGCCCCCGUCAAUUCUUUUGAGUUUCACCCUUGCGAGCGUACUCCUCAGGCGGUAUACUUAACGCGUUAGCUCCGACACAGCCGGGGUUGAGCCCAGCUACAUCAAGUAUACAUCGUUUACGGCAUGGACUAC
RNAcentral lists this unclassified non-coding RNA (377 nucleotides) under uncultured Chlamydiales bacterium. RNAcentral describes it as "contains 16S-23S intergenic spacer region". Lineage: Bacteria; Pseudomonadati; Chlamydiota; Chlamydiia; Chlamydiales. The record is from RNAcentral.